Long non-coding RNA from Acinonyx jubatus (cheetah), 608 nucleotides. RefSeq lists it as uncharacterized. NCBI's taxonomy places the organism in Eukaryota, Metazoa, Chordata, Mammalia, Carnivora, Felidae. The transcript has 3 exons. The record is from RefSeq and is a predicted model, not a curated record.
AAGUGAAGUAGAGUGUGAACUUAGUUCUAUAAUUUAAAAUACUUAUUACUUUGAGGAUCAAAGAGAAAUGGUGAAUAAAUAAAAAUGCUCUUACUUUUAAAUUCAAGUUUGUUCCAAUGUUUUACUUCAAUUAUCAGGCAAACCUUGUGAAUUAUACACAGCCAGAAAUGCCUUGAGCCUCUAUUAAAAGGCUAAUACUCCUCACAAACAUAGAAUGUGAAAUUAAAGUUCUGUGACAUCAGCACUCACCUGCAUAGCAUUGUUGGAGAAUAAUAUCCCAUAACUGUCAAGGUGGCUAAGAAACUGAGAACUAACUCAUGAAUUGCUCCUGGAAUAGUUUCUGGCACUUAGGAGGAAUGAUAAAUACUUCUACAUGUUGAAAUAAACCAAGAGAUCUAGAGAAGGGAAGGCUUUUCUUUAUAAUUGAUACAUGCAUCUGCUUACAGACUAGUUUCCAAGUGUAGCCAGGAAAUAUGAAGACUUGGCUGAAAGAAAAGUUUAUUUAGUAACUGAAAGGAAUCUUUUUUUUUUAUUUUUCAAAUAAAAACUCAUGACAAGAGAAUGAAAAGCAUCAUGCAAUGAGAUAACAUUGCAUAUUUUGCUUACAA